AGCAUUAUCUUCAAUAUUUCUCAUUACCACGACCAUUGAUAUUACUUACGAUGUAAUAUUUAUUUUGUGAUAUAACGCAAAUACUGUCGACGAGGUUAUGUCUAUAAAUAGAAUUGGUAAAAGAAAAAUGUAGAUCAAUAAUAAUCGAAGGCAUCCUCUUUUACCGUGACAAUGCCGUUCUACAGUGCAGUCUACUAUGGUGAAAAAAAAAAAUUUCGCGGGAAGCAGAUUAAGAAAAGCUGCUGGGAAAGAAAUCACACGCAAGCUUAGUGUAAUUUUUAUCUGAUUAUUCUAUUCGUAAAAAGGACCAAGGGUGAAAUAUCGAGUAUAAAAAUGAAUAGAUCAACGAUAUUUUUUAUCGCAGCAGGUGUUAUUUCGUCGGAGAUCAUUUGGCAAGGAUAUAAAAGAUGUCGUAAUUUAGGAUGGAACACUUUUUUUAGAGGUUCUCUUAUUAAACAGAAGAAAGGAUCUCUAAUGGAAGUAUUAUUUUUUAUGGAAGAGUCAGCUUUUUGUCGACCACAUCUCAAUUUUCAUGAUAAUUGCAACGAAUUAAAUUGUGCCGUGGCUAAUUUAAAUAAAUUGAAAAAGUAUUUGAAAUCUGCCAAAUCCACUAUAGACGUGUGCAUGUACUUUUUUACUUCUCAACAAUUGGCCGAUGUUAUUAUGGAAGCACAGAAACGUGGAGUCGUAGUUAGAAUUAUAAUUGAUGCUAAUAUGGCAGAGCACAAUGACAAUCAAGCUAUACCUUCUCAUAAAGCAAACGCUCGAAGAACUCUCGAAAUGGAAAUUCUAUUGAUCAAGAGAAGAUCGUAUAAGAAAGGGAUAACGCAGAUCUGCUAAAAAGACGAAGACAUUUGCGUCACGCUGGAAGGUUGUAACUCAUCCGAUGGAUUCGUAAACACUGUAGAGAGAGAGAGAGAGAGAGAGAGAGAGAGAAAGAGAAUCGUGCGUGGGGUGUUAUAGCUAUCUACAAGUAUACUGUAUGGAGAGAGUUGGACGUUUGGAUCGGACGGUUGGAAUAAGACGAGGAAAAUCGUCUGUAUUGAGUCGGUUCGCCGAACGUGAGAGCUUGUCAAAACAUGCGCCUAAGAAUACACGAUUCGUGAUCGGAAAUAGCAAGACGGUGGCCCGAAAUAAGCGAAUCGCAAGAUAAUGGAACGCGGGUGCAUCCUGACUUAAGUAGCGACGCAAGCGAGGAAGAAGAUGAGGAUGAAGAGGGAGAAGGGAAGGACGUCCGGACGUUGGCAUACCCUCGUCAGGUGUUACGUCCUCAGCCGUGGCAAGGCGGCAGUCGAUGACACCACGAACGAGACGAGCUUCUGGACGACGUGUCGCCACUCGACUUUACUUGGCACCGAAUCACAAGCGUCGUUAGACGCCGUGUGGGAGCUAACUUAAAGUCGAACGCUCGAUUGAUACGUUCGGCUUCGUGACGUUUGGAAUCUCCUGGAUAGAGUUCAGAAACGAAUGCGCUUGGAAUAUAGAGCGAUCAACGAUCGGGCUUGCUCGACAGGUGCAUCGCUAAAAACUUCCUUAGCCCAAAUUUUAUUACACCUAAUGUAUUUCGUUUGGCCCGUGAUCGUUGCCAAGAAAUAAUCCACGAUGGCAACAAAUCGUAAGAUUCUCACGUGAGAUAACUCGGUGUAAUCGCGAACAUAUGUUCCGUCCUGAGUUCAUCGUUCUCUAAUAAAGUAUGCGGAUGAGAGGAGUAUCCCAGUGAUGCGAGAAAAAUCUUUUAUUAUCCGACGAUGUACUUCCUCGAGCUUUAAUA
Vespa velutina is the source of this 1771-nucleotide RNA transcript. It is a transcript of the gene named mitochondrial cardiolipin hydrolase, with no coding region annotated. The record is from RefSeq and is a predicted model, not a curated record. Lineage: Eukaryota; Metazoa; Arthropoda; Insecta; Hymenoptera; Vespidae. The transcript has 6 exons.